GAUGAACGCUGGCGGCGUGCCUAAUACAUGCAAGUCGAGCGAACGGACGAGAAGCUUGCUUCUCUGAUGUUAGCGGCGGACGGGUGAGUAACACGUGGAUAACCUACCUAUAAGACUGGGAUAACUUCGGGAAACCGUAGCUAAUACCGGAUAAUAUUUUGAACCGCAUGGUUCAAAAGUGAAAGACGGUCUUGCUGUCACUUAUAGAUGGAUCCGCGCUGCAUUAGCUAGUUGGUAAGGUAACGGCUUACCAAGGCAACGAUGCAUAGCCGACCUGAGAGGGUGAUCGGCCACACUGGAACUGAGACACGGUCCAGACUCCUACGGGAGGCAGCAGUAGGGAAUCUUCCGCAAUGGGCGAAAGCCUGACGGAGCAACGCCGCGUGAGUGAUGAAGGUCUUCGGAUCGUAAAACUCUGUUAUUGGGGAAGAACAUAUGUGUAAGUAACUGUGCACAUCUUGACGUUACCUAAUCAGAAAGCCACGGCUAACUACGUG
RNAcentral lists this ribosomal RNA (497 nucleotides) under uncultured bacterium. RNAcentral describes it as "partial 16S ribosomal RNA". It matches the Rfam family "Bacterial small subunit ribosomal RNA", at positions 28 to 507 of the family's 1533-position model. The record is from RNAcentral.